UGGGGAAUAUUGCACAAUGGGCGCAAGCCUGAUGCAGCCAUGCCGCGUGUGUGAAGAAGGCCUUCGGGUUGUAAAACACUUUCAGCGGGGAGGAAGGCGUUAAGGUUAAUAACCUUGGCGAUUGACGUUACCCGCAGAAGAAGCACCGGCUAACUCCGUGCCAGCAGCCGCGGUAAUACGGAGGGUGCAAGCGUUAAUCGGAAUUACUGGGCGUAAAGCGCACGCAGGCGGUCUGUCAAGUCGGAUGUGAAAUCCCCGGGCUCAACCUGGGAACUGCAUUCGAAACUGGCAGGCUAGAGUCUUGUAGAGGGGGGUAGAAUUCCAGGUGUAGCGGUGAAAUGCGUAGAGAUCUGGAGGAAUACCGGUGGCGAAGGCGGCCCCCUGGACAAAGACUGACGCUCAGGUGCGAAAGCGUGGGGAGCAAACAGG
This 429-nucleotide ribosomal RNA is filed under the name Chloroflexota bacterium. RNAcentral describes it as "Chloroflexi bacterium partial 16S ribosomal RNA". It matches the Rfam family "Bacterial small subunit ribosomal RNA", at positions 355 to 776 of the family's 1533-position model. Lineage: Bacteria; Bacillati; Chloroflexota. The record is from RNAcentral.